UACGUAGGGUGCAAGCGUUGUCCGGACUUAUUGGGCGUAAAGCGCUCGCAGGCGGUCCUUUAAGUCUGAUGUGAAAGCCCACGGCUCAACCGUGGAGGGUCAUUGGAAACUGGGGGACUUGAGUACAGAAGAGAAGAGUGGAAUUCCACGUGUAGCGGUGAAAUGCGUAGAGAUGUGGAGGAACACCAGUGGCGAAGGCGACUCUUUGGUCUGUAACUGACGCUGAGGCGCGAAAGCGUGGGGAGCAAACAGG
RNAcentral lists this ribosomal RNA (253 nucleotides) under uncultured bacterium. RNAcentral describes it as "partial 16S ribosomal RNA". It matches the Rfam family "Bacterial small subunit ribosomal RNA", at positions 524 to 776 of the family's 1533-position model. The record is from RNAcentral.